This 465-nucleotide ribosomal RNA is filed under the name uncultured bacterium. RNAcentral's name for it is "partial 16S ribosomal RNA". It matches the Rfam family "Bacterial small subunit ribosomal RNA", at positions 28 to 507 of the family's 1533-position model. The record is from RNAcentral.
GACGAACGCUGGCGGCGUGCUUAACACAUGCAAGUCGAACGGAAAGGCCCUGCUUGCAGGGUACUCGAGUGGCGUACGGGUGAGUAACACGUGGGUGAUCUGCCCCGCACUUCGGGAUAAGCCUUGGAAACUGGGUCUAAUACCGGAUAUGAGCCAUUUUUAGUGUGAUGGUUGGAAAGUUUUUUCGGUGUAGGAUGAGCUCGCGGCCUAUCAGCUUGUUGGUGGGGUAAUGGCCUACCAAGGCGGCGACGGGUAGCCGGCCUGAGAGGGUGGACGGCCACAUUGAGACUGAGAUGCGGCCCAGGCUCCUACGGGAGGCAGCAGGGGGGAAUAUUGCACAAGGGGCGCAAGCCUGAUGCAGCGACGCCGCGUGGGGGAUGACGGCCUUCGGGUUGUAAACUCCUUUCGCUAGGGACGAAGCUUUUUGUGACGGUACCUAGAUAAGAAGCACCGGCUAACUACGUG